CGGGCCUGGAGCCGCGGCGGGCCCGGGGCCUGCGGGCCGGGGGCAGCACUGACCUCAGGCCGCGGUCCUCUCUAGGAUGUUUCUGGUUGGUGCACCUCAUGGGCUGCAGUCCUGGACCUGUCUGGACAAUAGGGGAUUAUCAUCCCUGUAGACCCCUGAAGGUCUGUGCUUUUGCAGAUCCUGCUUUGCAAGGAAAUAAAUUUUCUUCAAAAAGGAA
Agelaius phoeniceus (red-winged blackbird) is the source of this 217-nucleotide long non-coding RNA. RefSeq lists it as uncharacterized. NCBI's taxonomy places the organism in Eukaryota, Metazoa, Chordata, Aves, Passeriformes, Icteridae. The record is from RefSeq and is a predicted model, not a curated record.